GGCGGAGUAGCUCAGUCGGUCAGAGCACACGGCUCAUAUCCGUGGCGUCAAGGGUUCAAGUCCCUUCUCCGCCACCA
Molecule: transfer RNA, 77 nt
Filed under: Candidatus Coatesiibacteriota bacterium
Lineage: Bacteria; Candidatus Coatesiibacteriota
Description: Candidatus Coatesbacteria bacterium tRNA-Met
Rfam family: tRNA
About the family: Transfer RNA (tRNA) molecules are approximately 80 nucleotides in length. Their secondary structure includes four short double-helical elements and three loops (D, anti-codon, and T loops). Further hydrogen bonds mediate the characteristic L-shaped molecular structure. tRNAs have two regions of fundamental functional importance: the anti-codon, which is responsible for specific mRNA codon recognition, and the 3' end, to which the tRNAs corresponding amino acid is attached (by aminoacyl-tRNA synthetases). tRNAs cope with the degeneracy of the genetic code in two manners: having more than one tRNA (with a specific anti-codon) for a particular amino acid; and 'wobble' base-pairing, i.e. permitting non-standard base-pairing at the 3rd anti-codon position.
Source: RNAcentral